Molecule: long non-coding RNA, 450 nt
Filed under: Cavia porcellus (domestic guinea pig)
Lineage: Eukaryota; Metazoa; Chordata; Mammalia; Rodentia; Caviidae
Description: lncRNA (ENSCPOG00000030474.1)
Source: RNAcentral
AGCUGACCUAUGGGCUCCAACAUAAUCAGCAUCCUUGAUUCCAUCUAAAGUCUCUCCUAACCUUUGGAAAUGACUUUUUGGAGAGGUUCAACAUAGAGAUGAAAAACAGGAACUGCUUGGACAGCACCCUGAAGGCAGCAGUUAUCUAUAGAAGAGAGGAGGAAGUACAAAGGACCAAUGAAGAAGAAAGCAGAGCAAUGGAUGGGCUUGUGGUAAGUCACCACCUAUCUGGGUUGGAAGAAAUCCAGAUUCAAAUUUCCUUCAUCUUACCGAGGAGGAGAAAGCCAGAUGUUGGGACGGGGAUAAAGGAGAAAAGAGGACAACAGUUUUAUGGACCAUUCCGCACACUAAGGCUCAUCUGAGUUCCUCAUAAUCUGUCCUUUCUGCUCAGACAGGGGUUUUGAGGUGGGUGUUUGACAUUUAGGAAUGAGCCAGGUUACCCAAUCUGUC